This 288-nucleotide long non-coding RNA is filed under the name Capsicum annuum. RNAcentral's name for it is "long non-coding RNA (CANN_LNC004781)". Lineage: Eukaryota; Viridiplantae; Streptophyta; Magnoliopsida; Solanales; Solanaceae. The record is from RNAcentral.
AAAGUCUUCAGAAAUGCUGUUUUAGCCCGGGACAGAUUUUCUAUGCAGCAGAUUUAGUCCUUUAUGCGUCCAGCUCCUUUCCAUCUCGUUUGUGAGCUUUCUUUUGCGUCAAGUAAGCCAUAAAUUGCUGUAUUUUGCAUCAUUUAUACCUGAAACUUUCCUAAUCACAUUUGUUAGCUCAUUUACAGGAAAAAGGACUAAAAGUGUACGAAAUAGAUAAUUAGUUCUCGAAACUAGGCUAAAAUAUGGGCAAAAUAUAUUGAUAUAGGCGCGUAAUUUCGCCUAUCA